AACGCACAUUGCGCCCUCUGGUAUUCCGGAGGGCAUGCCUGUUCGAGCGUCAUAAAUACCGCUCCCCCUCGGAUUGCUUGCGGUCCCUGGGGGGUUCUGGCAAUGUGGAUUCCCCGUGCUUUGAGGGCAUGCGAACGGGCUCCCAGUGCUGAAAGACAUAAUGUUCCCAGCCGAAACCGGUGAUUAAUUUCAUCGGCAGGAUUCGUGGCAGGCAGACUGAGGGCGUCAACCGUGGAGUCAUGAGGGUAGAAACCUCCCCCUUUGCAAGUAACAUUGCUCUGGCAGUUAGAUCUGCAGGCCUGCCGGUCUGGGGAUGGACCUCCCACUCGCAGGCGUCACGGCCACGAUAGCGGGCGUUAAACGGAAUCCGAUCCGCCCUCACGGGUGGUUGAAGAUCCUUGUGGGCUAGCAACCCCUAAACACAUUUUGACCUCGGAUCAGGUAGGGAUACCCGCUGAACUUAA
RNAcentral lists this unclassified non-coding RNA (464 nucleotides) under uncultured Morchella. Its description in RNAcentral is "sequence contains ITS2". The stretch from base 1 to 52 matches the Rfam family "5.8S ribosomal RNA", at positions 103 to 154 of the family's 154-position model. Lineage: Eukaryota; Fungi; Ascomycota; Pezizomycetes; Pezizales; Morchellaceae. The record is from RNAcentral.